This 1710-nucleotide long non-coding RNA is filed under the name Homo sapiens (human). RNAcentral's name for it is "non-protein coding lnc-DUSP11-5:1". Lineage: Eukaryota; Metazoa; Chordata; Mammalia; Primates; Hominidae. The record is from RNAcentral.
ACUCCCGUUCGUCUGUCUAUUACAUUCCCAGUGAUUUAGGACUUGGAACGGAGAGCUAGUAGGUGGGGCUAGAAUCGGCACCUGCGGAAAAUCCGACCAAUGAGGAGCGAACGACACAGCGGCCAUCUUGGUAAAGGAAAAGGAACAAGGAAGAAAGUGGAACCAAUUAGCAAGCUAAGCUGGAGUUGGAAUUACCCAGUGAAGUUGUUCUUAAGAAGGCUACUGUAAAACCAGUAACAUGAAGGUGAAUCUGUGGUUUGGAGCUCCCCCUACAGUUUGUUUGAAGACUGGUCUCUCUCAUCUCCAAGAAAAAUGACCACUUUGGAAAAUGAGUUCUUACGCAUGCUUGGAAAUAUUUUUAAUGUGUAUAUAUUGUUUAAAUUUAUGUUUAAAUGUGUACAUGAGGAAUCCGUUUUAUGUUAGACAUAUUUUUUUCGUUUGUUACCUGCUUGCUAGCUGUGGACUGUAUAAUUUAUUUUCCAAUAAGUCAAAGUCUUUGUUUUAGGUCAGAGUGCCAUUUUCAAGGUUGCGAAUUUCAACAAGAGUUAAAUGACACGUGAAACUUUAUGGCUAUUUGAGAAUUGGACAUUUUGAAUGAGAGAUUUUAUCAUUUUAUAUUUUGUUUACGUAUUUCUUUUCAAAUAUAGGGCCUGAAUUAUGACCAAGCACUAUAACUUUUAAUGAGGGAUAAAGAAUUGCAUGCCACUAUGUGUGUACUCUGAAAAAUACUCAUUUAGUUAGUCAUUUGACAAAUACUGAUUAUCAUCUAUGUGCCCGACACUGUUUAAGGCAUUAGGCACAUAUCAAUGAACAAAGCAGACAAAAAUUUCCCUGCCCUUGGGGAUCUUGUAGUUUAGUGAUGGAUGGAGGAGUAGUGGAUUAUAAAAAUUAUCAUGAUAAAGAAGUCAAUUACAUAGUGUAUUAAAAGGUUCAAAGUACUGUGAAAGCAAUGGGCCCUGGCACAGGAAAUCAGAUUGAAGGAAGGGAGAAGCAGUGAGGCAACUGCAAUUCCAAAUAGUGUGGUCAAGGAAACUCCCAUUGAAAAGAUUUGAGAAAAGACUUGGAGGUAAGAAGAGCUUUCCAGGCAGGGAAUAGCAAGUACAGAGGCCUUCAAUCAGGAGCUUGCUGGUGCAUUCAAGGCACAGUAAAGGGGCUCAGCGUGCCUGGAGUGGAGUGAAGGGGAGUGUAGCUGUAAAUCAUAUAGGGCAAGAGUCAGCAAACCAGUGCAGCCUGUUUUUGUAAAUAAAGUUUUAUUGGAACAUGGCCAUGCUCAUUUGUUUAUGUAUUUUCUGUGGCUGCUUUCAUGCUACAACCAGAAAGUGGAGUUGUUGAGACGGAGAUGAUCUAUCCCACAAAGACUAACAUAUUUAACUGUCUGAGUCUUUAUAGAAAAUAUUUUCUGACCCCUGCUGUAGGUAAGAUUUCACAGGCCACUGUAACAAUGUUGACUUUGACUCUGAGAGAAAUGAGAAGCUAUGGGAAGGACUGAACAAAAGAGUGAUCUGAUUUGUGUUUUGUGAUUUGUGUUUUGAAAGGAUCAUUAUGGCUGCCAUGUUGACAAAUUUUAGGGAAAAGGCUGGGAACAGGAAAACCAAUUAGGACUGUGGUUCAAAAGGUGUACCAGCCAGGCACAGUGGCUCAUGCCUACAAUCCCAGUGCUUUGGGAGGCUGAGGUGGAAGGAUCUCUAGAGGCCAGAGUCUGAGAUUGCA